RNAcentral lists this ribosomal RNA (552 nucleotides) under uncultured bacterium. RNAcentral describes it as "partial 16S ribosomal RNA". It matches the Rfam family "Bacterial small subunit ribosomal RNA", at positions 355 to 899 of the family's 1533-position model. The record is from RNAcentral.
UGGGGAAUUUUGGACAAUGGGCGCAAGCCUGAUCCAGCCAUGCCGCGUGCGGGAAGAAGGCCUUCGGGUUGUAAACCGCUUUUGUCAGGGAAGAAAUCUUCUGAGUUAAUACCUCGGGAGGAUGACGGUACCUGAAGAAUAAGCACCGGCUAACUACGUGCCAGCAGCCGCGGUAAUACGUAGGGUGCAAGCGUUAAUCGGAAUUACUGGGCGUAAAGCGUGCGCAGGCGGUUUUGUAAGACAGAGGUGAAAUCCCCGGGCUCAACCUGGGAACUGCCUUUGUGACUGCAAGGCUUGAGUGCGGCAGAGGGGGGAUGGAAUUCCGCGUGUAGCAGUGAAAUGCGUAGAUAUGCGGAGGAACACCGAUGGCGAAGGCAAUCCCCUGGGCCUGCACUGACGCUCAUGCACGAAAGCGUGGGGAGCAAACAGGAUUAGAUACCCUGGUAGCCCACGCCCUAAACGAUGUCAACUGGUUGUUGGGAAGGUUCCUUCUCAGUAACGUAGCUAACGCGUGAAGUUGACCGCCUGGGGAGUACGGCCGCAAGGUUGAAA